AUCCCAUCAGAACUCCGAAGUUAAGCGUGCUUGGGCGAGAGUAGUACUAGGAUGGGUGACCUCCUGGGAAGUCCUUGUGUUGCAUUCUUUUCUUUUGGUUGCAACUGUGCGUACAACGGACGUAACAUUGUCAUACGGAGUCCGACCGAGACGUUCUUGUACUUAAAACGACCGGAACGGCAUUUUGAUCCGAAAAACACCUAAGUCAGGACCCAUUGGGUUUCGUGCCGAUAUUCCAGGCGCGCGCACACGCGGCGGUUGCCAACCCAAGAAAGGUCCUAGAAAUCCCCUCGGUGCCUUCGAGGGAGCGCCCAUAAGGAGAAGCCACGCGCACAACAUGUCGAAUGCGAUCAUACCAGCACUAAAGCACCGGAUCCCAUCAGAACUCCGAAGUUAAGCGUGCUUGGGUGAGAGUAGUACUAGGAUGGGUGACCUCCUGGGAAGUCCUCGUGUUGCAUUCUUUUCUUUUGGUUGCAACUGUGCGUACAACGGACGUAACAUUGUCAUACGGAGUCCGACCGAGACGUUCUUGUACUUAAAACGACCGGAACGGCAUUUUGAUCCGAAAAACACAUAAGUCAGGACCCAUUGGGUUUCGUGCCGAUAUUCCAGGCGCGCGCACACGCGGCGGUUGCCAACCCAAGAAAGGUCGUUCGGGUCCCCGAAAUGCCUUCGGCGCCUUCGAGGGAGCGCCGAUAAGGACAAGCCGCGCGCACAACAUGUCGGAUGCGAUCAUACCAGCACUAAAGCACCGGAUCCCAUCAGAACUUCGAAGUUAAGCGUGCUUGGGCGAGAGUAGUACUAGGAUGCGUGACCUCCUGGGAAGUCCUCGUGUUGCAUCCUUUUUUUUUGGUUGCAACUGUCCUAACUUUAUGAUACGAAGUCCGACCGGGACGUUCUUGUACUUAAAACGACCGGAACGGCAUUUUGAUCCGAAAAACACAUAAGUCAGGACCCACUUGGUUUCGUGCCGAUAUUCCAGGCGCGCGCACACGCGGCGGUUGCCAACCCAAGAAAGGUUGUUCGGAUCCCCGAAAUGCCCUCGGCGCCUUCGAGGGAUUGCCAAUAAGGACAAGCCGCGCGCACAACAUGUCGGAUGCAAUCAUACCAGCACUAAAGCACCGGAUCCCAUCAGAACUCCGAAGUUAAGCGUGCUUGGGCGAGAGUAGUACUAGGAUGGGUCCUCGUGUUGCAUUCUUUUUUUUUGGUUGCAACUGUGCGUACAACGAACGUAACUUUGUCAUACGGAGUCCGACCGGGACGUUCUUGUACUUAAAACGACCGGAACGGCAUUUUGAUCCGAAAAACACAUAAGUCAGGACCCACUGGGUUUCGUGCCGAUAUUCCAGGCGCGUGCACACGCGGCGGUUGCCAACCCAAAAAAGGUCGUUCGGGUCCCCGAAAUGCCCUCGGCGCCUUCGAGGGAGCGCCGAUAAGGACAAGCCGCGCGCACAACAUGUCGGAUGCGAUCAUACCAGCACUAAAGCACCGGAUCCCAUCAGAACUCCGAAGUUAAGCGUGCUUAGGCGAGAGUAGUACUAGGAUGGGUCCUCGUGUUGCAUUCUUUUUUUUUGGUUGCAACUGUGCGUACAACGAACGUAACUUUGUCAUACGGAGUCCGACCGGGACGUUCUUGUACUUAAAACGACCGGAACGGCAUUUUGAUCCGAAAAACACAUAAGUCAGGACCCACUGGGUUUCGUGCCGAUAUUCCAGGCGCGUGCACACGCGGCGGUUGCCAACCCAAAAAAGGUCGUUCGGGUCCCCGAAAUGCCCUCGGCGCCUUCGAGGGAGCGCCGAUAAGGACAAGCCGCGCGCACAACAUGUCGGAUGCGAUCAUACCAGCACUAAAGCAGCGGAUCCCAUCAGAACUCCGAAGUUAAGCGUGCUUGGGCGAGAGUAGUACUAGGAUGGGUGACCUCUUGGGAAGUCCUCGUGUUGCAUUCCUUUUUUUUUUGUUGCAGCUGUUCUAACUUUGUCAUACGGAGUCCGACCGGGACGUUCUUGUACUUAAAACGACCGGAACGGCAUUUUGAUCCGAAAAACACGUAAGUCAGGACCCACUGGGUUUCGUGCCGAUAUUCCAGGCGCGCGCACACGCGGCGGUUGCCAACCCAAAAAAGGUCGUUCGGGUCCCCGAAAUGCCCUCGGCGCCUUCGAGGAGCGCCGAUAAGGACAAGCCGCGCGCACAACAUGUCGGAUGCGAUCAUACCAGCACUAAAGCACCGGAUCCCAUCAGAACUCCGAAGUUAAGCGUGCUUGGGCGAGAGUAGUACUAGGAUUGGUGACCUCCUGGGAAGUCCUCGUGUUGCAUUCCUUUUUUUUUUGUUGCAGCUGUUCUAACUUUGUCAUACGGAGUCCGACCGGGACGUUCUUGUACUUAAAACGACCGGAACGGCAUUUUGAUCCGAAAAACACGUAAGUCAGGACCCACUGGGUUUCGUGCCGAUAUUCCAGGCGCGCGCACACGCGGCGGUUGCCAACCCAAAAAAGGUCGUUCGGGUCCCCGAAAUGCCCUCGGCGCCUUCGAGGAGCGCCGAUAAGGACAAGCCGCGCGCACAACAUGUCGGA
This 2571-nucleotide long non-coding RNA is filed under the name Brachypodium distachyon (stiff brome). The record is from RNAcentral. Lineage: Eukaryota; Viridiplantae; Streptophyta; Magnoliopsida; Poales; Poaceae.